GUGCUCACUUCAGCAAUACAUACACUAAAAUUGGAAUGAUACAGAGAAGAUCAGCGUGGCCCCUGCGCAAGGUUGACAUGCAAAUUUGUGAAGAUUUCCAUUAUAAA
Pongo abelii (Sumatran orangutan) is the source of this 107-nucleotide small nuclear RNA. NCBI's taxonomy places the organism in Eukaryota, Metazoa, Chordata, Mammalia, Primates, Hominidae. The record is from Ensembl.